RNAcentral lists this long non-coding RNA (213 nucleotides) under Elaeis guineensis (African oil palm). Its description in RNAcentral is "long non-coding RNA (EGUI_LNC077725)". Lineage: Eukaryota; Viridiplantae; Streptophyta; Magnoliopsida; Arecales; Arecaceae. The record is from RNAcentral.
CAAUAAACCAAUUGGACUUGAUCCAAUUAAGUCCAAACUAAAUCUAAUUAAAUCAUAUUCAAUUAGAUUUAAUUUCAAUCCAUUGGCUUAAUCAAAUUAAGUCAAUUAGCAAUCAAAUUGCUAAUCGAUCCUCCUGCAACACUUGCACUAGGUUAAAUGUCAAUCGUAUUGAUCAUUUAACUCUAGAACGAUUCUUAAUUGUUGAUCAACCAU